GUAUGUCGUCGGAAGCGACCGAAGUUGGACGCAAUGUUUCGCCGUCCAAAGUAGGACACGUCCUCAGUUUGAAGGGACUUAAGGAGAAACAGCGGCAGGUGGAAGCUAAAGCUAGGCUACAGGUGGAAGCUAAAGCUAGGCUACAGGUGGAAGCUAAAGCUAGGCUACAGGUGGAAGCUAAAGCUAGGCUACAGGUGGAAGCUAAAGCUAGGCUACAGGUGGAAGCUAGCGAAUACAGCAUGCCGGAAACACGACAGCUGUUAAGGAAAACGGCAACGUAGCUAAUUUAACUAGCAAGACAAAACGUCGCCAAAUUGUGCGUUUUUUCGGGCUUCGCCGUCCGAAAUUGGACACCGAUCCGCUACGUCAGCUGGGGCCGGCGCUAGCGCCAGUCGGUCCACUAGUGGAUUACCUGGGUUAUUACCUCGAUUAUUGCCUGGAUUAUUACCUGGAUUAUUUUACAUCUGCUUGCCAUGUUUUUAUUUUGACCGAAUCCGAGUUGUGGGAUUUGGACGGAGAACAAGACAAUGGAGUAUGGACACAGUUGAAGGGUGAGACGGAUGUUUGGUCAGCUAGCUAACAUUAGCUAAAUCAACUUCCGGGUUAUAACAGUUCUCCUGCUGCUAUGUCAGGGAUGCAAACUUGUCACCUUUCGGCGAAAAUCAUCGUUGUGAGUCCUCAAUAAGUCAUUUGUGUGAUUCGUGCAGAUUCAGUUAGUUGUGUGAAAAGGGUGUGUGUCGUGUGUGUUUACAUGGUAAAGGAAUUAAAGCAGUGGCACACCUCAGCCAGGAAAACAAGGUGUCAAUGUCUAAUAUGUGAACAUGAUGUGAGCAGCAGAGCACACGUUACGUUACAUCGUAUCUGUCAGAAAACGGUGAAGAAUGGUGAUCACUGUUUCCCAAAGACCAAGGUGAUGUCCUUAAGGGUCUGCCAUGAACCGAUGUCUGCCUUAGAUUUCUUCAGCAGCAAGACGCUCAUCAAGGCAAGGUGAUGAUUGUCAGAGGGAAAGGGAAAAUGCAGCAUGAGCUCGAGAAGUGCCCGGGGAGUUGCUGUGAUGUAUUGUGGGGUUGUUAGUUUCCACAACCUCACUGCAGGCCUUCACUCAACCUGCAGAUCAAGCAUUGGAACAAGGUUUACGACAGAGAACAGGCGCCCAACGGAGAGACAAGUCUACCAUUAGUAUCAACUGCAAUAUACUAUAAGACAAGAUAUUAGUCAAUGUUAUCCACUAUCCCUUACAUUAUGAUGGAGAUCUGUAAGUGUAGACACAUCUUUAAAAGCCUUGGUGGAAAAGUCUAAGUAUUUUGCUCCAAGAGCUGGAAAUACAGACAAGUCAUCAGUUACAACUCACAUGGGCCUCUCAAUUGGCUGUCUUUUCACACGUGACUUUUGCUACACUUCUGCCGCGGAAGAUUUGCAAAUGUGUGUGGUGAUUUGUGUGCAUGUGAUUCUUUUUCACAUUUACAAUCUAUACAGACACAACUCUCUGCACACAUUUGUAAAUAGUUUUACAACAACAAUAGAGAGCCCAAGUCACGCCCCUUCCGGUGUGCCCCAUGGGACCUUAUUUCAGAUAAGUUUUGUAUGGCAGUCAAUGGUGAGAGACAAAUUAUUUCUUGAGCCUGUUUGAAUUGAGCCGUGAAUCACACAUAUGAUGUUUGUCAAUUUAAAAGGUAAUUUUACAAGUAAAGAAAGUCGUAGCUUGUCGUAGAAAUAGUAAAGAACCAUGUAGUCAUUCACAGCGGCAUGGCCGUUAGCUCGACACAUAAUGAGGGAAAAAGUAUUAAAAGAGAUGAAAAUGACUACAAGUCUGCUGUUGUUGAGAGCUGCAGUGCUCUGAAAGAAGAGUUAGUCAGUUAAGUCCGUGAGAGCUGCUUGUAGGACUGGCUUUCUGUGAAUGUUGAACGAGACAACGUCACUUAUGUGAGUCGUGGUCGUGUCGUCUUUAUAAUUACGUAUUUUCACAGGCUUUUACUUCAAUAGUUUUACAAUAAACUUCGACU
This is a long non-coding RNA of Lampris incognitus (smalleye Pacific opah), 2003 nucleotides long. RefSeq lists it as uncharacterized. The transcript has 5 exons. NCBI's taxonomy places the organism in Eukaryota, Metazoa, Chordata, Actinopteri, Lampriformes, Lampridae. The record is from RefSeq and is a predicted model, not a curated record.